RNAcentral lists this ribosomal RNA (372 nucleotides) under uncultured bacterium. Its description in RNAcentral is "bacterial SSU rRNA". It matches the Rfam family "Bacterial small subunit ribosomal RNA", at positions 524 to 898 of the family's 1533-position model. The record is from RNAcentral.
UACGGAGGAUGCGAGCGUUAUCCGGAUUUAUUGGGUUUAAAGGGUGCGUAGGCGGCUUUGUAAGUCAGCGGUGAAAUUUUGCAGCUUAACUGUAACAGUGCCGUUGAUACUGUGAGGCUAGGAUUUGGUUGCUGUGGGUGGAAUGUGUGGUGUAGCGGUGAAAUGCUUAGAGAUCACACAGAAUAUCGAUUGCGAAGGCAGCUCACAAAGCCAAGAUUGACGCUGAGGCACGAAAGUGUGGGGAUCAAACAGGAUUAGAUACCCUGGUAGUCCACACUGUAAACGAUGAUAACUCGCUGUCGGCGAUAUACAGUCGGUGGCCAAGCGAAAGCGAUAAGUUAUCCACCUGGGGAGUACGACCGCAAGGUUGAA